GUCUAUGGCCAUGCCACCCUGAACGUGCCCAAUCUCGUCUGAUCUUGGAAGCUAAGCAGGGUUGGGCCUGGUUAGUACUUGGAUGGGAGACCAUUUCAGAAUACUAGGUGAUGUAGACA
This 119-nucleotide ribosomal RNA is filed under the name Pteropus alecto (black flying fox). The record is from RNAcentral. Lineage: Eukaryota; Metazoa; Chordata; Mammalia; Chiroptera; Pteropodidae.